Molecule: ribosomal RNA, 253 nt
Filed under: uncultured bacterium
Lineage: Bacteria
Description: partial 16S ribosomal RNA
Rfam family: Bacterial small subunit ribosomal RNA
Source: RNAcentral
UACGUAGGGGGCUAGCGUUGCUCGGAAUUACUGGGCGUAAAGGGCGCGUAGGCGGUUUGUCCAGUCAGGUGUGAAAUUCCCGGGCUCAACCUGGGGGCGGCACUUGAGACGUAGGAACUGGAGUGAGGAAGAGGGUAGUGGAAUUCCCAGUGUAGAGGUGAAAUUCGUAGAUAUUGGGAAGAACACCGAUGGCGAAGGCAGCCAUCUGGACCGACACUGACGCUGAGGCGCGAAAGCGUGGGGAGCAAACAGG